This 33-nucleotide ribosomal RNA is filed under the name Phasmahyla guttata (spotted leaf frog). RNAcentral describes it as "partial 12S ribosomal RNA". The record is from RNAcentral. Lineage: Eukaryota; Metazoa; Chordata; Amphibia; Anura; Hylidae. RNAcentral also lists the same sequence under 3 other names.
CAUGGUAAGUAUACCGGAAGGUGUGCUUGGAAA